GACGAACGCUGGCGGCGUGCUUAACACAUGCAAGUCGAACGGAAAGGCCCUGCUUUUGUGGGGUGCUCGAGUGGCGAACGGGUGAGUAACACGUGAGUAACCUGCCCUUGACUUUGGGAUAACUUCAGGAAACUGGGGCUAAUACCGGAUAGGAGCUCCUGCCGCAUGGUGGGGGUUGGAAAGUUUCGGCGGUUGGGGAUGGUCUCGCGGCUUAUCAGCUUGUUGGUGGGGUAGUGGCUUACCAAGGCUUUGACGGGUAGCCGGCCUGAGAGGGUGACCGGCCACAUUGGGACUGAGAUACGGCCCAGACUCCUACGGGAGGCAGCAGUGGGGAAUAUUGCACAAUGGGCGGAAGCCUGAUGCAGCAACGCCGCGUGCGGGAUGACGGCCUUCGGGUUGUAAACCGCUUUCGCCUGUGACGAAGCGUGAGUGACGGUAAUGGGUAAAGAAGCACCGGCUAACUACGUG
This 468-nucleotide ribosomal RNA is filed under the name uncultured bacterium. Its description in RNAcentral is "partial 16S ribosomal RNA". It matches the Rfam family "Bacterial small subunit ribosomal RNA", at positions 28 to 507 of the family's 1533-position model. The record is from RNAcentral.